Molecule: long non-coding RNA, 909 nt
Organism: Numida meleagris (helmeted guineafowl)
Lineage: Eukaryota; Metazoa; Chordata; Aves; Galliformes; Numididae
Exons: 2
Source: RefSeq, a predicted model, not a curated record
AGGAGUGCAAUGGUUUCCAUCCCCUAUAGGUCCUCUCAAGUUUCCCCUGACUCCUCUUUCUAUCCCUCAUUGAAUUCCACAAGUAUCCUCUUCCUUCCCCUAUAGAUCUCACCAAGCAUCUCCUACCUGUCCUUUGAUCCCCUGUAGGUCACCUAUAGAUCCCCCAACUGUCCCUCAUGUUCCCCACAGAACCCCCACUCUUCCUCCUCUCCUUUUUGAUGCAGGUGUCCCCCCAGCAAUGACUGAGGACUUGCAGAUCCAGGUUACCCCAGUGACAGUGUGGAUCUGACCUACGCCGAGAUGCAAGCUGCCAUCCCGUGCUCCCCGCCCUCCACUUCCCACACUGCCCCUCAGUCCCCCAUUAUCUACACCAAAGUGAGCACUGGGUUACCGUGCUGAUGAAACCCCCCAGGUGCCUCAUUUAUGGGGUGCUCUGAAGGGGACAGACCCUGAAUUCCCCACUUGGGACUCCCCGAUGUCCUGUUCUAACCCCAGACCAGCUAACUUCCCCAAAUCUAACAAUCCCAAAUUCUCACUGAUAAACCCCAAAUGCUUCCCAGUCAUACCAAACCCCUAAAUGCCCAUCUCUUACCCCAAAAUCCUUCUUUAGCCCCUCAAAUAUCUUAACACCCUUUGAGACCUCCAAAUCCUCACCAAUCCACUCCAAAUCACCACCACCAUUUCUCUGUGAUCCCCUGAUCUGUCCCAAUCUACCUCUCUUCUAGAGAGCUCCCAAAAUGUUUCCUUCCUCCCCUAACAUCUCCUACGGAUGCUCUACAGAUCCUCUACAGAUUUCCCCCACAUUCCUUUCCUCCCAUUCUGUCCUGCUUCUACCAUUGGUCUUUGGGUGGUGAGCAAUUUCUUUGUGCAGCACAAGAUUUGGAAAAUCAUAAACGCAUCUCAAUAUCA